Molecule: RNA transcript, 1055 nt
Organism: Drosophila subpulchrella
Lineage: Eukaryota; Metazoa; Arthropoda; Insecta; Diptera; Drosophilidae
Gene name: salivary glue protein Sgs-5
Exons: 5
Source: RefSeq, a predicted model, not a curated record
AGUUUCAGUCACCUGUUUUCAUCUUUAUCAACAUGUACUUUAAGUUCUCGAUAUUGUUCGUGUUAUUGGGCGGAUUAUUCCACCUGAAUGAAGCCCAAACAACAAACUGCUCGAAUAAUUGUAUUUUUCGUGCAAGAUGUAAUCCCUACUUUAGGGAUCUGGUCUGGACAGUAGUAGAUCGCGUUUGUCGCGUUUUCCAGAACGGCUGCAUCUUUGGAAAUGAAAAUUGCAUGAGGGCUAAUCGAUGCUUGCCACCCAUGGUAGCAACUUCAAGGGAGGAGUGUAUGAAGGAGAUAUACUGCCCAAGGAUGUGUUCUCGGGGAGCUCCUCCAGUGUGCGCGUGGUUUCCCUAUACGUACAGCAAUGGAACUACUGGUGGUCGGGACUUGACCUUCGGGAGUCGUUGCGGACUGGACAGCUAUGCCUGUCGUAACGCUCAAGAAAUUGUUCCGGAGCUUGUAACUUACAGUUUCGAUGUGAUCCUUAUGCCAGGAAUAUUAUCUGGACAGUUUCGGAAGGAGUUUGCCGCGUUUUUCAGAACUCGUGUCAUUUAGGAUCCCACAACUGCCAAAGGGAAAACCAAUGCUUGCGACCUUUGAUUAUAACUACUCAAGAUAAAUGCAUGGUGUAUUGCCGAGGUCGCUGUCCCUUAGGUGGGACACAAGUUUGUGCAUCUUUUUCCUAUGUGGACAGCAACGGGGUUAAAAGAGAUCAACAAAUUACCUUUCUGAACCGCUGUCAUUUAGACCAGUAUGCCUGCAAAAAUUCCAAUGCAUAUAUUGGUGAUCCUUCGAUCGGCCCCUGUCCUUAGAUUUAGUUAGUGAUAAACAUUAUUUAACACUUCAAAUAAAAAUACUAUAAUUAUCGAAAAUGUUUCCGAAAUUUGAACUUUAACGAUUUCGGUAUGCCAAAACCUUUAUAACAUUUUUUAAAAAGCCUAAAAGUAAACUUAUUUAUAUGUUCGUUUAAAUGUAUUUAUUUAUUAUUUACUUAAUAUUAUCGCUGGAUCGUCUUGUUUAUGACAUACAUAUUUAAUGUAAAUGGCGUAGUUACAC